CGCUGGCGGCGCGCCUAACACAUGCAAGUCGAACGAGCGAGAGAGAGCUUGCUUUCUCGAGCGAGUGGCGAACGGGUGAGUAACGCGUGAGGAACCUGCCUCAAAGAGGGGGACAACAGUUGGAAACGACUGCUAAUACCGCAUAAGCCCACGGCUCGGCAUCGAGCAGAGGGAAAAGGAGUAAUCCGCUUUGGGAUGGCCUCGCGUCCGAUUAGCUAGUUGGUGAGGUAACGGCCCACCAAGGCGACGAUCGGUAGCCGGACUGAGAGGUUGAACGGCCACAUUGGGACUGAGAUACGGCCCAGACUCCUACGGGAGGCAGCAGUGGGGAAUAUUGGGCAAUGGGCGCAAGCCUGACCCAGCAACGCCGCGUGAAGGAAGAAGGCUUUCGGGUUGUAAACUUCUUUUAAGAGGGAAGAGCAGAAGACGGUACCUCUAGAAUAAGCCACGGCUAACUACGUG
This 462-nucleotide ribosomal RNA is filed under the name uncultured bacterium. RNAcentral's name for it is "bacterial SSU rRNA". It matches the Rfam family "Bacterial small subunit ribosomal RNA", at positions 34 to 507 of the family's 1533-position model. The record is from RNAcentral.